AUGUCGUUAAUUUGCCGCAUUCUUUUCUUCUUCUUCUUCUUCUUCUUCUUCUUCUUCUCCCUCCCCUUCCACCACGCACUAGACCCAGUCAAUGUACUGAAUGUACAAUAUAAUGUCUCGAGCGACUCGUUCACCGGCGUGUCUGGCCUUUUGUCUAGGCAGUUCGUAGCGUACAGUCGCAACCCACCACAGGUUCUGUUGCGCAGGUUUCUUGCCCCACGGCGGCCUGAUUUCGAAGCCCUUCCUAACCGGUUUAUCAUGAUAAACAUGGUUGACAACGUGCCUGGGCGUACAGCCACCCUCGCCCUGUGCGACGAUGACCUGUACGUCCCGGGUUUCAAAGAUACCACUCUCCAGUGGAACCAUUUCAGAAGAUUCGAGCCAAUCGUGCCUGGCUCCAGGGAACUGCCCGUUCACCACACUUACCCAGAGCUUCUGCCAUUGUUCCCAAACGGCAGCAGAAUGUCACACCUGCAACUGCAUCUAGUACCCUUGGGCAAAGCUGCCACCUUGGGUGCAUUCCGGACGUUGGCAAACUAUAAUCCUCGCACCACGCCAAGGAAGGACCUUAGGUCCGCGCUGGUAACACUAAUCGUCACCUUUAGUGAAGGACACAGAUUUGAUCAGCUAAACAGACGACUGAAGAACGAGUGGGACAACGCUCGACCAAUCUACAUGCUUGAAGAGGAGGCACCGUACGUUGUACAUUGGGGUUCGCUGUCUCGUGCGCUCCAAUGGUGGGAGGAGAGUGGUCGCAAAAGUUGGACCAAUAGUCCACAGGACAUUGCAGAAUUCAAAAAGAUCCAUGCCAACAGUCCCCAGGCAGCUAGAGAUGUGCUGCUCUUCUUACAAAGGACCAUGAAAUUCAAUUUAUAG
RNAcentral lists this ribosomal RNA (876 nucleotides) under Triticum aestivum (bread wheat). RNAcentral describes it as "partial small subunit ribosomal RNA". The record is from RNAcentral. Lineage: Eukaryota; Viridiplantae; Streptophyta; Magnoliopsida; Poales; Poaceae.